GGGGCUAUAGCUCAGCUGUUAGAGCGCUUUUGCAUAAGAGGUCAGUCUUCGAUCCCGCUUAGCUCCACCA
RNAcentral lists this transfer RNA (70 nucleotides) under Escherichia coli. RNAcentral describes it as "tRNA-OTHER". Lineage: Bacteria; Pseudomonadati; Pseudomonadota; Gammaproteobacteria; Enterobacterales; Enterobacteriaceae. The record is from RNAcentral.